GUUGUUUUCAAUAAUAGAGCUUCUGAAUCGACGAUCCAUACUAGUAAACAUUAUCUAGAGCAUUUGAAACUUCUAAAAUCAAAUUUCAUAAUUUUUAAUAUUUUACCUUAUGAUCAAAAGAUAUCAAAAUUGAUAAUUUUUAACGGCCGAUAUGGAAUACUUGCUAGUUUAAUGAUGUAAAAGAAUCGAAAUCAGUUGAAUUUGGGUAGAAAAUUCUAUUGACUAUAAAGAGAAAAAUCAAUAACUCCGAUCUUAAAUUGAAGUAUCUGAUCAUCCAUUUUUAGGACGUCAUUUGAUUUUGACCGUUCAUUUUAUGUCCCUUUGAUGGACUUUAUUAUAACUUUGAAAAAUUACGAAAUUCAUUUUUUGGAACUUUCAAAUAAUUAGGAUCAAAUUUAACAGUGUGGAUUUUCAAUUCGAAAGCUCCAUCAUUGAAAACAAUAUAUGAGUACGAAAGACUCUAUAGUCAAAAGAGUAUAGUAGCCCACUCUUUCUCUAUCUCUCUCUAUAGAGAGAUAGAGAGUCUGGCUACGAUACUAUCGAUAGUAUGAAGCUCUUGGUAUUAUCGAGUUUUCUGCCGUUAGAAGUUCUCUUUGAUCAUUUUCACCCAUUUGAACAUACUAUUCAAACCAAGCACUCCCUCAACCCUAAAGAACCACUAUUAAUCAGAGACUACUAUCAUUCUAAUCGCACAUCUUUUAUAAUGACCAAAAAUUCGAUAGCAUAAAAUGUUUGAUAAUAUCGAUAGCAUA
This 752-nucleotide long non-coding RNA is filed under the name Ananas comosus (pineapple). Its description in RNAcentral is "long non-coding RNA (ACOM_LNC017970)". Lineage: Eukaryota; Viridiplantae; Streptophyta; Magnoliopsida; Poales; Bromeliaceae. The record is from RNAcentral.